This 107-nucleotide small nuclear RNA is filed under the name Glossina palpalis gambiensis. Lineage: Eukaryota; Metazoa; Arthropoda; Insecta; Diptera; Glossinidae. The record is from RNAcentral.
GUUCUUGCUACGGCAGAACAUGUACUAAAAUUGGAACGAUACAGAGAAGAUUAGCAUGGCCCCUGCGCAAGGAUGACACGCAAAAUCGUGAAGCGUUCCACAUUUUU